Molecule: ribosomal RNA, 1128 nt
Filed under: Bacillaceae bacterium BL-214
Lineage: Bacteria; Bacillati; Bacillota; Bacilli; Caryophanales; Bacillaceae
Description: bacterial SSU rRNA
Rfam family: Bacterial small subunit ribosomal RNA
Source: RNAcentral
UUACACGUUGUGGUNACCAUGCCUGGUGAGACUGGNCAUAACUCCGGGAAACCGGAGCUAAUACCGGAUAGUUCCUUGAACCGCAUGGUUCAAGGAUGAAAGACGGUUUCGGCUGUCACUUACAGAUGGACCCGNAGCGCAUUAGCUAGUUGGUGGGGUAAUGGCUCACCAAGGCGACGAUGCGUAGCCGACCUGAGAGGGUGAUCGGCCACACUGGGACUGAGACACGGCCCAGACUCCUACGGGAGGCAGCAGUAGGGAAUCUUCCGCAAUGGACGAAAGUCUGACGGAGCAACGCCGCGUGAGUGAUGAAGGUUUUCGGAUCGUAAAGCUCUGUUGUUAGGGAAGAACAAGUGCGAGAGUAACUGCUCGCACCUUGACGGUACCUAACCAGAAAGCCACGGCUAACUACGUGCCAGCAGCCGCGGUAAUACGUAGGUGGCAAGCGUUGUCCGGAAUUAUUGGGCGUAAAGGGCUCGCAGGCGGUUUCUUAAGUCUGAUGUGAAAGCCCCCGGCUCAACCGGGGAGGGUCAUUGGAAACUGGGAAACUUGAGUGCAGAAGAGGAGAGUGGAAUUCCACGUGUAGCGGUGAAAUGCGUAGAGAUGUGGAGGAACACCAGUGGCGAAGGCGACUCUCUGGUCUGUAACUGACGCUGAGGAGCGAAAGCCUGGGGAGCGAAACAGGAUUAGAUACCCUGGUAGUCCACGCCGUAAACGAUGAGUGCUAAGUGUUAGGGGGUUUCCGCCCCUUAGUGCUGCAGCUAACGCAUUAAGCACUCCGCCUGGGGAGUACGGUCGCAAGACUGAAACUCAAAGGAAUUGACGGGGGCCCGCACAAGCGGUGGAGCAUGUGGUUUAAUUCGAAGCAACGCGAAGAACCUUACCAGGUCUUGACAUCCUCUGACAACCCUAGAGAUAGGGCUUUCCCUUCGGGGACAGAGUGACAGGUGGUGCAUGGUUGUCGUCAGCUCGUGUCGUGAGAUGUUGGGUUAAGUCCCGCAACGAGCGCAACCCUUGAUCUUAGUUGCCAGCAUUCAGUUGGGCACUCUAAGGUGACUGCCGGUGACAAACCGGAGGAAGGUGGGGAUGACNUCAAAUCAUCAUGCCCUUUAUGACCUGGGCUACCCC